RNAcentral lists this long non-coding RNA (744 nucleotides) under Brachypodium distachyon (stiff brome). RNAcentral describes it as "long non-coding RNA (BDIS_LNC001056)". Lineage: Eukaryota; Viridiplantae; Streptophyta; Magnoliopsida; Poales; Poaceae. The record is from RNAcentral.
CGUCGAAUGACAAGUUCGGGGUCGAUUGGACGUAGCCUCCGAGUGUCGGGUGCAUCCAAUGAGAAGUUCACGGUCAAUUGGACGCAGCCCUCGAGUGUCGGGUGCGUCCAAUGACAAGUUCGGGGUCGAUUGGACGCAGCCCCCGAGUGUCGGGUGCCUCCAAUGACAAGUUCGGGGUCGAUUGCACGCAGCCCCCAAGUGUCGGGGGCGUCCAAUGACAAGUUCGGGGUCGAUUGCACGCAGCCUCGAGUGUCGGCUGCGUCCAAUGACAAGUUCAGGAUCGAUUGGACGCAGCCUCCGAGUGUCGGGUGCGUCCAAUGACAAGUUCAGGGUCGAUUGCACGCAGCCUCCGAGUGUCGGGUGCGUCCAAUGACAAGUUCAGGGUCGAUUGGACGCAGCCCCCGAGUGUCGGGUGCGUCCAAUGACAAGUUUGGGGUCGAUCUCUCGGCUUUGAGUUUGAUGCGACCGCAUCAGGGUAAGUAAAAGAAAAAGGACUCUGAGUAGAGCAACAUAAAUACUUUUUAUUACGUACGGAUGGUACAAGAAGGUACUUAAAAAUGCGGAGAAAAAGGAAAAAUAUACGAGAAACUAAAAAAAAUCAAGCAAAAAAGCCUGGCGCGUUGGCGGCGCAAUUGCGUGGCGUUCCGUGCCUUGCUUCUUGUGUCCCCUGCUCUUAAUUGGAGUCUGAGGGGGGGGGGGGGUUCUUGGUUCUCCUGUAGUCGAGUUGGCUGAACAGCCAUGUCG